RNAcentral lists this small RNA (299 nucleotides) under Pan troglodytes (chimpanzee). RNAcentral's name for it is "processed transcript". The record is from RNAcentral. Lineage: Eukaryota; Metazoa; Chordata; Mammalia; Primates; Hominidae.
AGUUGAUGCUAUUGGGCCCAUCUCAAGCUGAUCUUGGCACCUCUCAUGCUCUGCUCUCUUCAACCAGACCUCUACAUUCCAUUUUGGAAGAAGACUAAAAAUGUUAAUCUUCCUUCUGGCAUGGAUCUUGGAAUGCAAACUUGCUGGGAUCUCCGAGUUCCAGGCUUCCCGUGCAGCCGGUGUGGAGAGCCAAGAUAUGUUUUGUUUGGCAUAAAGCAUUCCAAGGGUCAGUGGGAUUGGGCUCAACUAUUGAGCAUAGGACAAGGGCAGCCCCAUCCUGACUGUGACUCUUCCCACAA